RNAcentral lists this ribosomal RNA (1491 nucleotides) under Triticum aestivum (bread wheat). RNAcentral describes it as "partial small subunit ribosomal RNA". The record is from RNAcentral. Lineage: Eukaryota; Viridiplantae; Streptophyta; Magnoliopsida; Poales; Poaceae.
AUGCAAGAAGAAUUACAUCAGUUCGAGCUCAACAAUGUCUGGGAACUGGUCAAACGUCCAGAUCCUCGCAAGCAUAAUAUCAUUGGCACAAAGUGGAUCUACCGCAACAAGCAAGAUGAAAAUGGCCUUGUGGUAAGGAAUAAGGCACAACUUGUAGCUCAAGGCUACACACAGGUUGAAGGAAUUGAUUUCGAUGAAACUUUUGCACCUGUUGCUAGACUUGAGGCUAUUCGCAUAUUACUUGCUUAUGCUAAUCAUCAUGAUAUCAUCUUAUAUCAAAUGGAUGUGAAAAGUGCAUUCCUCAAUGGUAAGCUUGAGGAAGAAGUAUAUGUUGCUCAACCCCCAGGUUUUGAAGAUCCAAAGAAUCCUGGCAAAGUCUUCAGACUUAAUAAGGCCCUCUAUGGCCUCAAGCAAGCCCCUCGGGAGUGGUAUGAUACAUUGAAGGAAUUCUUCGUGAAGAAUGGCUUCACACCCGGUUCACUCGACCCUACUCUCUUUACUAAAUCUUAUGAUGGUGAACUGUUUGUGUGCCAAAUAUAUGUUGAUGAUAUUAUCUUUGGCUGUACUGACCAACGUUAUAGUGAUGAAUUUGCCUAUAUGAUGAGUGAAGAAUAUCAAAUGUCUAUGAUGGGAGACUUGAAAUUCUUCUUAGGUCUUCAAAUUCGUCAACAGCGCAAUGGCAUAUUCAUAUCUCAGGAGAGAUACCUCAAAGAUGUACUGAGGAAAUUCGGCAUGCAAGAUUGCAAAGGCGUCAAAAUUCCUAUGCCCACAAAAGGCCAUCUAUGCACCGAUGAAAAUGGUAUUGACUUCGAUCACAAGGUAUACCGCUCCAUGAUUGGUUCUUUAUUGUACUUAUGUGCAUCUAGGCCAGAUAUAAUGCUUAGUGUUUGCAUGUGUGCCCGAUUUCAAGCUGGAACAAAGGAAUCACACCAUAAGGCUGUGAAGCAUAUUCUUCAAUAUCUAACUCACACACCAACACUAGGAUUAUGGUACCCCAAGGGCUCUGCUUUUGAUCUCAUUGGAUAUUCUGACUCUGACUAUGUUGGUGAUCGUGUGGACCGCAAGUCAACUUCUGGCACUUGUCAUUUCCUCGGACGAUCUUUGGUCUGUUGGUCCUCGAAGAAACAGAACUGCGUAUCACUGUCUACUGCGGAAGCUGAAUACAUUGCUGCUGGUUCUUGCUGUGCUCAACUGCUUUGGAUGAAGCAAACACUCAAGGACUAUGGCGUCAACGUGAAGAAUGUGCCUCUCCUUUGCGACAAUGAGAGUGCCAUCAAGAUUGCUCACAACCCAGUUCAGCACUCGAAGACAAAGCACAUUCAGAUUCGUCAUCAUUUUCUUCGUGAUCAUGUGUUGAAGGGCGACAUCUCCAUCGAGCACGUGAAGACUGAAGAACAACUAGCUGAUAUCUUCACUAAGCCCUUGGAUGAGAAGAGAUUUAGCAAGUUGCGGUGUGAGCUAAAUAUCUUAGAAUCUUCGAAUGUUCUUUGA